Molecule: non-coding RNA, 45 nt
Filed under: Schistosoma margrebowiei
Lineage: Eukaryota; Metazoa; Platyhelminthes; Trematoda; Strigeidida; Schistosomatidae
Source: RNAcentral
AUCUAGCCGAUAAGUCCCAAAUAGGACGAAACGAGAGUCCUGGAU